UACGUAGGUGGCAAGCGUUGUUCGGAAUUAUUGGGCGUAAAGGGCGCGUAGGCGGUUUGUUAAGUCAGCUGUGAAAGCCCGGGGCUCAACCCCGGAGGGUCAGCUGAUACUGGCAGGCUAGAGUACAGAAGAGGUAACUGGAAUUCCCGGUGUAGCGGUGAAAUGCGUAGAGAUCGGGAAGAACAUCAGUGACGAAGGCGGCCUGCUGGGCUGUUGCUGACGCUGAGGCGCGACAGCGUGGGGAGCAAACAGG
RNAcentral lists this ribosomal RNA (253 nucleotides) under uncultured bacterium. RNAcentral's name for it is "partial 16S ribosomal RNA". It matches the Rfam family "Bacterial small subunit ribosomal RNA", at positions 524 to 776 of the family's 1533-position model. The record is from RNAcentral.